Molecule: ribosomal RNA, 755 nt
Filed under: uncultured bacterium
Lineage: Bacteria
Description: bacterial SSU rRNA
Rfam family: Bacterial small subunit ribosomal RNA
Source: RNAcentral
AACUAGAGGAUGGUAGAGGGAGGUGGAAUUCCCGGGUGUAGCGGUGGAAUGCGCAGAUAUCCGGAGGAACACCAGUGGCGAAAGCGGCCUCCUGGACCACUCCUGACACUCAGACGCGAAAGCUAGGGUAGCAAACGGGAUUAGAGACCCCGGUAGUCCUAGCCCUAAACGAUGUAGACUUGGCGUCGGUGGUUUAAACGCCAUCGGUGUCGAAGCUAACGCGAUAAGUCUACCGCCUGGGGACUACGGCCGCAAGGUUAAAACUCAAAGGAAUUGACGGGUCCCCGCACAAGCAGCGGAGCGUGUGGUUUAAUUCGUUGCUACACGAAGAACCUUACCUGGGUUUGACAUAGAGGUGGUAGGGAAGCGAAAGCGGACCGACCCUUCGGGGAGCCUCUACAGGUGUUGCAUGGCUGUCGUCAGCUCGUGUCGUGAGAUGUUCGGUUAAGUCCGCUAACGAGCGCAACCCUCGCUGUGUGUUACAAGUGUCACACGGUACUGCCGGUAUUAAGUCGGAGGAAGGUGGGGAUGACGUCAAGUCAGCAUGACCUUUAUAUCCAGGGCUACACACACGCUACAAUGGUCAGUACAAUAGGUUGCCAAGCCGCGAGGCGGAGCCAAUCCUAAAAAGCUGGCCUCAGUUCAGAUUGCAGUCUGCAACUCGACUGCAUGAAGUUGGAGUUGCUAGUAACCGCAGGUCAGCUAUACUGCGGUGAAUACGUUCCCGGGGAUUGUACACACCGCCCGUAAGGGCG